UACGGAAGGGGCAAGCGUUGUUCGGAAUCAUUGGGCGUAAAGGGCGCGCAGGUGGUUCUGUAUGUCUGCCGUGAAAGCAUACAGCUCAACUGUAUUGUGUCGGUAGAAACUGCAGGACUUGAGGCUGGGAGGGGCUGGUGGAAUUCCCUGUGUAGCGGUGAAAUGCGUAGAGAUGGGGGAGAACACUCGUGGCGAAGGCGGCCAGCUAGACCAGUUCUGACACUGAGGCGCGACAGCCAGGGGAGCAAACGGG
This 253-nucleotide ribosomal RNA is filed under the name uncultured bacterium. RNAcentral's name for it is "partial 16S ribosomal RNA". It matches the Rfam family "Bacterial small subunit ribosomal RNA", at positions 524 to 776 of the family's 1533-position model. The record is from RNAcentral.